This is a long non-coding RNA of Alligator mississippiensis (American alligator), 1379 nucleotides long. RefSeq lists it as uncharacterized. The record is from RefSeq and is a predicted model, not a curated record. The transcript has 9 exons. NCBI's taxonomy places the organism in Eukaryota, Metazoa, Chordata, Crocodylia, Alligatoridae.
UGAGGCCAGGCAGCUAAUGGAGCAAUUAGCUGCACCUGGUGACUGGGUGGGGGUGACUGGUCUGGUGAUGGGAAGGAGACUACACUGAGGGAUUCAAGCUGAGCAGGGAGCCAUACUGGGGGAGCCUGGGCUGCUGGGAGAGGGGCUCUCGAGAGUGCAGGUGCUGCUGGAGACGAAUGGGCAUCCAAGCUGCCUAGCGAAGCUGGGAGGAAGGCUCCCGGGAAGAUUUGAACCGGUUUCCAAUCAUUUAGGACAUUUGGGACAUCUCCAGCUAAAGGCUACGAGCAGAAGUAGAAGGACUAACUGAAUGUUUCCCAGUCCUGAUGUCACUGUGCGGGGGAAGAAAAAGUAGACAGCCUCAUUCUCUCUUCAAAACACCUCAGAUCGGAUGAAGGAGGUAGAGAGUCUCUGUACACAGCAAGUAUUGGCCACCUGUGAAAAAGUGCUUCAAACCUGCCUAUGGUGGAAGAUUACAUAGCAGAGCUCACUGCCAGUUGGAAACUGUAUCGUGUCAAAGGGAUGUCUUAAGAUGGGAUUUGAAGGAGAAUAAUGAAGGACGCGUGGCCUAUUGCUGUGCCACGCAGCAUGCACCUCAUCUUGUCCGAUCUCAGAAACUAAACAAUCCUGGGUUUGGUUCGUACUUGACUGGGAGACCGACUGCCUGGAAAUCCCAGAUGCUGUAGGCACGAGCCAAGAAAUCGUGGCCAAUCAGAGGACAACAACCUAUCAAUGUCAGGACCUGAUGGAGGUCAUACAUUGUACUUGGACACCAGAAAGAUGGACGCAGCACUAUGAGGCGACAUAGUCUUCCCAUGAUGGUAUCUAUGCAAGAGUUGGAGAUAAAAUGAGACAGAUGUACUGACCAUGGUUACCAAGGGAGCAGUUUCCUUAGCAAUGAGUAAAUGCCGAUUUGUACUGGGAGCAGUGCAAACCGUCUAGAACAGACUUUGCCAGCUUGCAACCUUCGUCAGCAAUAAAUAUCCACAACAUUGAACAGGUCCUGAACCUUGAACGCUAAGCUGUGGGAACCGGUUUUGCUAACAGACACUGGAAACCUGACCAGGGUAAACCCCUGCGAGGGAUGAACACCCUCUGCUCCGCUCAACAAGAGCCAAAAAUGACUGGGGUGCUAUUCUGGGAGCUGCGGAGCAUGCACACCGGAGCAGAAGGCAGCCAGCCCCUUGGAGGAUCAGCCCUCGGUGCUCAGUACUUCAUUCCCUUCCUCUCUGUUGGACAACCUUUCCACGGACAUAGUGCAGCAUUUGGGACCUUUUCAGAAAAAGAGACACCAAAAUGGAAUGUUUUCCAUAGCGAAAGAAAACAUGGUGGCAUCUGAAGGUAACUGGAAUGAAUGACAGAAAAAACUACAAACAAUUCAA